This is a long non-coding RNA of Dama dama (fallow deer), 5794 nucleotides long. RefSeq lists it as uncharacterized. Lineage: Eukaryota; Metazoa; Chordata; Mammalia; Artiodactyla; Cervidae. The transcript has 2 exons. The record is from RefSeq and is a predicted model, not a curated record.
AAAGAAAGAAAGAAAGAAAGAAAAAAAAAUGAUGCUGAUUGCAUGUAGCCCAUGAGACGGAAAGGCCUGGAAGAGGGGAAACUUUUCAUGGUACAGAAACUGCCAGCAGCCAGAGGAAGACACCUGUCCUGAUCCGCAUGUGGAGUCAUAAGCAGUCAUUUUCUAACUUGGCAGAGCUCCCGGCAGUGACAUUUCCAACACCACCUAGAGGACCAGGAAAUUCAGUCAGGCUGGCAGCACCAGAGGUGGGCCUGAUCAGAUCCCUCUCGGCAAGUCCUUAUGCAAGAAAUGAGGGGAGUGGAGGGCCCUGGGCAGUAAUCCCAAGAUUCUGUGGAGAAUUUUUUUGGAGGUUAACUGCUGAUUUGCAAAUAUGCAAACUUUUCAAGAUUUGGUUUGCUUGGAUUUGGAAGGAAAUUGAGAAAAAGAUACGGAGGAUAGGUUUCAUUCCUUUCCUACUGUAACUACUCACAUGAAAUGAAGAGGAAUGUUGAGGAAAUGAAUCGUAAUGAUUGAAACCCCUCCUAUUUAGAAAUGUAUUUUCUUCUGUUAUAUGGCAAUGCCACAGGACUGGAAAAGGUCCAUUUUCAUUCCAAUCCCUAAGAAAGGCAAUCCCAAAGAAUGCUCAAACUACCGCACAAUUGCACUCUUCUCACACGCUAGUAAAGUAAUGCUCAAAAUUCUCCAAGCCAGGCUUCAGCAAUACAUGAACCGUGAACUUCCAGAUGUUCAAGCUAGUUUUAGAAAAGGCAGAGGAACCAGAGAUCAAAUUGCCAAUAUCCACUGGAUCAUCGAAAAAGCAAGAGAGUUCCUGAAAAACAUCUAUUUCUGCUUUAUUGACUAUGCCAAAGCCUUCGACUGUGUGGAUCACAAUAAACUGUGGAAAAUUCUGAAAGAGAUGGGAAUACCAGACCACCUGACCUGCCUCUUGAGAAACCUGUAUGCAGGUCAGGAAGCAGCAGCUAGAACUGGACAUGGAACAACAGACUGGUUCCAAACAGGAAAAGGAGUACGUCAAGGCUGUAUAUUGUCACCUUGAUUAUUUAACUUAUAUGCAGAGUACAUCAUGAGAAACACUGGGCUGGAAGAAGCACACGCUGGAAUCAAGAUUGCCGGCAGAAAUAUCAACAACCUCAGAUAAGCAGAUGACACCACCUUUAUGGCAGAAAGAGAAGAGGAACUAAAAAGCCUCUUGAUGAAAGUGAAAGAGGAGAGUGAAAAAAUUGGCUUAAAGCUCAACAUUCAGAAAACUAAAAUCAUGGCAUCUGGUCCCAUCACUUCAUGGCAAAUAGAUGGGGAGACAGUGGAAACAGUGUCAGACUUUAUUUUUUUGGGCUCCAAAAUCACUGCAGAUGGUGACUGCAGCCAUGAAAUUAAAAGAUUCUUGCUCCUUGGAAGGAAAGUUAUUACCAAGCUAGAGAGCAUAUUGAAAAGCAGAGACAUUACUUUGCCAAUAAAGGUCCAUCUAGUCAAGGCUAUGGUUUUUCCAGUGGUUAUGUAUGGAUGUGAGAGUUGGACUGUGAAGAAAGCUGACUGCCAAAAAAUUGAUGCUUUUGAACUGUGGUGUUGGAGAAGACUCUUGAGAGUCCCUUGGACUGCAAGGAGAUCCAACCAGUCCAUCCUAAAGGAGAUCAGUCCUGGGUGUUCAUUGGAAGGACUGAUGCUGAAGCUGAAGCUUCAAUACUUUGGCCACCUCAUGUGAAGAGCUGACUCAUUGGAAAAGACCCUGAUGCUGGGAGGGAUUGAGGGCAGGAGGAGAAGGGGAUGACAGAGGAUGAGAUGGCUGGAUGGCAUCACCGACUUGAUGGGCAUGAGUUUGAGUGGACUCUGGGAGUUGGUGAUGGACAGGGAGGCCUGGCGUGCUGCGAUUCAUGGGGUCACAAAGAGUUGGACACGACUGAGCGACUGAACUGAACUGAACUGAACAUGGAUAUUUCAAAUAAUCAGAACCCCAAAUGGCUUUGAGUUAUCCUCCUUUUCAUGGUUGGGUAGCUUUCCUCUUUCUCUCCUUUCCUUCCCAUCUGCCUUCUGCUUCUCUGUCCUUAUCUUUCCUUCCUUCCUUCCUUUCCUUUCUUCCUUUUCUUUCUUUCACUCUCCUUCCUUCUCUCCCUCCCUUCCUUCCUUUCUCCUUUCUUUCCUUCCUUUCUUUCAUCAACAAAUAAUUAUUAAAUACACAGAAUAUUCCAGGCCCUUUGGAUACUUCAUUUAAAUUUUGCAGAUGCUGUCCCUGCCCUCAUGGAACUUAGUCUGGUAGGGAAGUCAGGCAAUCAAUUAAAACUUACAAAAAGUGUUAUAUAAUUGCAGCAAUAAUAUUAUGUGCUAUGAAAUGUGAUACCAUAUUAUGUUAAUGUUCAACAAUUUUGUAAGGUUAAGGAGGACUUUCCCAAAGGAAAGACUAUUUAAGCUGAGAUAAAAAGAAUAGAUAGCUUAUAAAGUAAUUCCAAUUAUAGAAGCUUUCCAGAAAAUGGAAAGACCAUAUGUGAAGACACAGAAGAAAACAAAACAAUCUCCAAUACAUUCUAGAUUAAGAUCCACAGUCAUCAGAGAGUGAAAGGUACUCUUUCUGCCAUUGUCUUUGGAAUACUACUUGAGAAAAAAACAAUCUGCCAUGAAGCAUCAUGGAAAUUGUUAGUGAUAUAAAUAACCUCAAUAUAUUUUUACCCCAAAACUUAGAUGACUUGUAAGCUAAAAGAACAAAUAGCAGUAAAUAAUGCUCAGAGGGUCUUUAUUGUGGCUACAAAAAUUAGCCUACUGCUCCAAUUUAUACUAUGUAAAACAUGAUUGGCAGGAGGAGAAGGGGCAACAGAGGAUGAGAUGGUGGGAUGGCAUCACCGACUUAAUGGAUAUGAGUUUGAGUAAGCUUCAGGAGUUGGUGAUGGACAAAGAAGCCUGGUAUGCUGUAGUCCAUGGGGUCACAAAGAGUCAGACACAACCGAGUGACUGAACUGAACUGAAAACAUGAUUACUCUGUUCAAAUAUGAUCAUUUGCAUCCCCAGUGUAUAAGUACACUUGUUACAGUGUAAGUUUGACUGCCAUCAUAGAGACUCAAAGCAAUAGAAGUUUAAACAUGAUGGAGGUUUGAUUUUCUCUUCUCUAACAGUCUGAGUAUAAGCAUACCUGAAUCAGGGUGGUUGGUACAUGCACAAUGUUGAAGACAUGGUCUCCUUAUAUCUUGCUGCUUCUUGCUCUUUAGAAUGUUGCCCCCUCCUCUCCAUGUUUCAAGAAGGCUCACAGGAAGAGAAAAAAAAGUUAGAGAAAGAUACAGAUUUUCCCUUUGAGAGGCACAGUUCAGAGUUUUUUCAGAUCAUUUCUGUUGUUAAAUCACUACCUGGAUGGACUUUGUCACAAGGCCACACCUAGGCUGAGAAAUACAGUCAUUAUUGUGGGCAGUCGUAUGCCCAAAUGAAAAAUAGGAAGAAGGUGAUACCAGAUCAUCGGAGGAAGGAAGCAUUCACUGCAACAGUGAGAAAAGAUAAAAGCACUAUGAUAACCUAAAGGAUUUAAACACAAGUGAGACUAAAUUCCUGACCUCAAGGAUGCCAGGAUCCAAUGGAUGAGAAAGGCAGCAGAAAUGUUGUAGAAAGGAGGAAGUGUUUUGGAAACAAAGCCUGGCCAUAAAUGGAUUCUGUUUGGGGAAUUGUUAUUACAGAAAAGAUAGCGCAGGUCAGUUGGUAAAUCAUCUGCCUGCAAUGCAGGAGACCUGGCUUCGAUUCCUGGGUAGGGAAGAUUCCCUGGAGAAGGAAAUGGCAACCCACUCCAGUAUUCUUGCCUGGAGCAUCCCAUGAACAGAGGAGCAUGACAGGCUACAGUCCACAGGAUCGCAAGUGUUGGACAUGACUUAGCGACUAAACCACCACCAGAGCUGAAUUCACAAGUGCAUGUAUAUGUUAGAUUUCAACUGGAAAAGAAGGGUAAAAACCUUUCAUGAACAGGAAACCCUAUUACAGCAACUUCUUUGAAGGACAUAUAUGUGCUUAAUGCUGCUUCCACUCUUUGUAGCCAGAUAAUUUAAAAAAUAAUCUUAGCUACAGGUUUUAGUCAAAAUAAUGAGUCUUAUCUAGAUUAAUGUGAAAGUGAAUUCUGAAAAUUUUGAAUCAUAACUAGUGCAUUCCUAAGUGCUGAGAUUGCACUUGAUGAAACUAACAGAAAGAUAAAGCUGAGAUUCUUCUUAGAACUAUUAAUCCACAAAGUAUGUAGCCAUAAACAUAACUUUUCCUUUUAUAUUCAGAAGACACCCCCAAAGGAAGGUAAACAGUGAAGUAGGAUCUGUAAAAUAAUCCAUCUCAAGAACAUCACAACUCAUAAAAAUUGGAUGAACUAAACUCUGACAUGAUGAGAAAAUAAUAAUCAUAAUUUCCACUAGUAUAUCAAUUUGUUUUCUAAAGUAUGCUUUACAUACACUUUCAGGUGACACUCAAAUCUAUGCUAUAGGUACAAUUAGCAUUGUUAUCCCAUUUUUAAGGGCGAGGAAACUAAAGUUAAAAGAUAUUAAACAGACACUCAAUAUCAAAUAUGAAGAGUUUCAGAGAUGAGACUCAAACCCAAGACAGAACAAGAGCAUAUAAUCAGUGUUGUGGGAAAAUAAAAUUGUCUGUGAAUGUAUUCUCAGGUGGAGGACAAAAGUCAAAACUAAACGUAAAGGGUUAAAGACUAAUCAUCUAAUUAUAUUCCCCAACAGCUCUUUAACCUUUUUUGUUGUUGUUCUUAUGAACACAGUUGCAAAAGAAAUUUAAGCAAAAAUGGUGUAGUUCCUGAGAAUUCUAGAGAAGUUGGGACCACUUUCUGCAUUAUUUUAGUUUACGUAUAGAUUAUCCCAGGAUUGGCAUGCUAGAAUAUUCUGAUAUGAGAUUUAUUCUGUACAGAGAUAAUGUUAUAAUCCAUUCAAUUUAGCCAUGAUAUAUAAAAAAUUGUGUUGCUACAGGGGGGCUUUUGAUAGAAAUGUAAUCAUAAUUUACCAAGAUACUGUUAAGUCAGAUUAAUUGAAGAUGACUAUUUUGGUCAAUUAGUUAGUCUGAAUUUAGAACACUUAUUUAAUAUUUUAGUAAAUAAUAAUGUAUAGUAUAACUGGAAAUUUUGCCAGGUAUAUUUUAACAAAUGCUUUCAAUUUGCAGAGCAUGCAAACAAUGCCUAAAGGUUUUAAAAAUAAAUCUAUACUCUGAUGUAAAAUAUCUAUUCGCUUAAGAAAUCAUUAUCCUUCAAACUUGUAAACAUUGCAGGGAACUUUUAAAAAAGGGAAAUAUUCAUAAUUUAAAUUAUUGAAAUGAGUGAAAUUGUCAUGUACUGAAGCCAAUAUAUAUCAUGAUGCCUUCAAAAGACACAAAACACUAAUGGUAAAGUUUCUGUUCAUUGAACAACUCUAUACAUCGUCCAUACACAUAUACAUAUGUCUGUUUCUGUACAUAAAUCAACCUCAGAUCCAUGCUGAAAUGCAGGUUUUAUCAUUCCCACUUUAUAGAUGUGGGUGUUGAGGGUUAAAAUGAUUAAGUGACUUCACCAAAAUCCCAUAGUUUGUAAGAAAGUGAGAAACAGUUAAUCCCACAUUUGUGUGGUUUUACAAUCUAUGUCUUUUCCACUAUAUCCACAACUUCUUUCUAUGUAUGCAAAUGACUGUCUAAGAAAAGUUAUACCAUCACAAGAACAUCUAGGUUGAUAACAGUAUUCUAUUUCUUGACUCAGGUGUUAAUUAUAAAAUUUCUUGCAUUAUAAAUAUUAUUAAUAUUCUGUACUUUCUUUUUUUUUUGCCUUUGCACUUCUUGGUAUGUGAGAUAUAAUUUCACAAUAAAAUGAUAAAAUAAA